UACGUAGGGUGCAAGCGUUGUCCGGAAUUAUUGGGCGUAAAGAGCUCGUAGGCGGUCUGUCGCGUCGGAUGUGAAAAUCCAGGGCUCAACCCUGGACCUGCAUUCGAUACGGGCAGACUAGAGUUCGGUAGGGGAGACUGGAAUUCCUGGUGUAGCGGUGAAAUGCGCAGAUAUCAGGAGGAACACCGGUGGCGAAGGCGGCAUCCUGGACCAAUACUGACACUGAAAAGCGAAAGCCAGGGGAGCAAACGGG
RNAcentral lists this ribosomal RNA (253 nucleotides) under uncultured bacterium. RNAcentral's name for it is "partial 16S ribosomal RNA". It matches the Rfam family "Bacterial small subunit ribosomal RNA", at positions 524 to 776 of the family's 1533-position model. The record is from RNAcentral.